UCCUCGAUAGCUCAGCAGGUAGAGCAAUCGGCUGUUAACCGAUCGGUCGUAGGUUCGAGUCCUACUCGAGGAGCCA
RNAcentral lists this transfer RNA (76 nucleotides) under Veillonella sp. oral taxon 780. RNAcentral's name for it is "tRNA-Asn". It matches the Rfam family "tRNA". From Rfam's summary of the family: Transfer RNA (tRNA) molecules are approximately 80 nucleotides in length. Their secondary structure includes four short double-helical elements and three loops (D, anti-codon, and T loops). Further hydrogen bonds mediate the characteristic L-shaped molecular structure. tRNAs have two regions of fundamental functional importance: the anti-codon, which is responsible for specific mRNA codon recognition, and the 3' end, to which the tRNAs corresponding amino acid is attached (by aminoacyl-tRNA synthetases). tRNAs cope with the degeneracy of the genetic code in two manners: having more than one tRNA (with a specific anti-codon) for a particular amino acid; and 'wobble' base-pairing, i.e. permitting non-standard base-pairing at the 3rd anti-codon position. Lineage: Bacteria; Bacillati; Bacillota; Negativicutes; Veillonellales; Veillonellaceae. The record is from RNAcentral. RNAcentral also lists the same sequence under 5 other names.